ACGCUCGACACCUACGGGAAGCAGCAGUGGGGAAUAUUGCACAAUGGGGGAAACCCUGAUGCAGCGACGCCGCGUGGAGGAAGAAGGUCUUCGGAUUGUAAACUCCUGUUGUUGGGGAAAAAGAGGAUGGUACCCAACAAGGAAGUGACGGCUAACUACGUGCCAGCAGCCGCGGUAAUCUGAGCGGCUGGCAAGGC
RNAcentral lists this ribosomal RNA (197 nucleotides) under uncultured bacterium. Its description in RNAcentral is "partial 16S ribosomal RNA". It matches the Rfam family "Bacterial small subunit ribosomal RNA", at positions 326 to 539 of the family's 1533-position model. The record is from RNAcentral.